CUGGAUCAGCUGGGUGAUCAGUGCAGCAAGCCAACAGUAUUUGCACCCCUACUGCUAGAGGAGUUCAGCUUGGGAUUCCAUUAUUUUGAUUGAAAAAAGAGCUGUUAAUGGCUUGUGCUAAGAUAAUUAACAUUAGAGCACUUAAAAAGAAAGACAACUUUUUUUUGGAGGCCAAAGAACAAAAACCACCCUGAAAUCUACAGAAAACUUCUAAGGAGGUUGACAUGUGCAAUGAAAUAACUAGUCCCUUUAUAUCCAUAAGACUUGGGGAUCGCCUUAAUUCCAGGAAAGUGAAGUACCCUAUUGGCUCUGAGCCUGGCUUGCAAGUUGCUAUACAAAAUCAAAUUCUAAUGCUCUCAAGAAAAAAACCACAAGUGAGGCUUGUGCUACUUGUAUGCAGUGCUAAAUCAAUAGGGUUUUCAAUAUAAAAUGCACUACAUCUGCAUUUAUAACUUUCCUAGCAAGAUACAGGAAUAUUAGGAGAACUCUUUUUUUUAAUUUUGUUCAAGAUCAUUCAUCUUUCACACUUGGUGCUCAGUCUUCUGAUAUUCAUGUCCACAUAUACCAAGGAAUCUCUUGAUGGCUGUGAAUGUGAUCUAGCAGAUGGAGAUUUUCUUUGAAGAUGGAAAGAACAUAGAGGAAGCAUUGAGUUAUUUAAUGCAUUAUUUUAUUCUUGCAGUGGUAAAGGUACAUCUUCAAAGAUUUGGAGUUAGAUUUUCUUGUAACUAAGUUAUUACAUCUAAAGUUUAGGUAAGGAUGUUAUAUUUCCUGGGAUGUUAGAAAGAGGAGUGCUGUUUCAAAAACUAGAUGCUGUACGUAAGCGACCAUCAGUAUUACGUUGCUUGUCAAACAUUGCUGCAAAAGCAUGAAAAUAGGAAUAAAGGACAAAAUUUUUCUAUAUUCUAAAUAUUACACAGUCUACCCAUAUGACUAUUUGUACUUAAAGCAUUCUGGACUAAUAUACUUUUGAAUAUGUACGUAUGCAUAUAUGUGUAUGUAUACACACAUAUGCAUUUCUUUACAUUCCAGUUCUCAGAGUCAGGCUUCCAGAGUAACUUAGCUGUUUACAGGCACAACUGCUAUAAUGUUUAUGUAAAAUCUUGUCACUGUUGUAAUUUAUUGCUUUUUCCACCCAGCAGUCUCCUUUCUCUGAGGACAAAAACAUGCUGGAGGAGGGACUGAGUUUAUCUGUGGUUGCAAAGUGCCAGAGACAGAGUUAAAAAUAAACUGAUAAUAGGCAAGAACGAGGAGGUAUUGAGGCGCUGCUGUUACCUGGUGCCCUGUUCCUUGGAACACCCUUUGCAGCAGAAUGCUCUGCACAAUGAUGGCUAGCAGCGAAACACUGAUUGAUCACACAGAUACUCAGCAAUUGUGAACAGCCAAUUAACCCGUCAGGGUUCUUUUCCUUCUGGAAAUGAAGGCAGGACAGCAAGAGGAGCUUGACAACUGCCACAGCCAACCCAGGACCAUCCUUCUGCAGGGAGAGAAAUUGUGCAUAUCUGCAUCCAGGGUCUGCCAGGUGAUCACCACGCAGUUUGCUGUGCGGUGCAUGGGGCAGCCCUGCACCUCCUGCACCAUCACAGUGAUGCCUCUGGAGAAACCAGGGUAGCCCCCUGCUGAGGAGAGUGUACAAAACCCUGCCUUGCUGUCUUCUGUUCCUGUUCUUUCACAGGUGAGAAAUAAGGUCCUUGUGAAUUCAUAUCUGAACAGAUGUCUUCUCUAGAUCACAGAAGUGAGGCAGUGAGCUGCAAGUAGGACAGACUCAACAAAACAAACCCGUGAGGGCUUGCCAAACAUACUACCAGUAUGUCAGGUUGCAGAGCUAAGAGCUGAGACACUGGGAAAAUUGCACGUCUCCCCAGUUGUUGCUCCUGCUGCCCCACACAGAAUCUGCUCUUCAUGCGUUCCCUGCCACUGGCAUGUUUUCUCCAGAGAGACCCUGCUCCCUGCUUCCACAUGCCUGAUGCCCUUUGCCUGGAUCUCAGUAUCAUCUCAAACCUCACCAUAUCUUUCCCAGAGCUAGUUCCAAGUUUCUGAAGAGCAUUGAUAAAACAGAAGCAUGCUGACUUAAGGACUGGUGCCAACGCUGCAUCUGCCAUUGGCAGGAGAAGUAAAAGGCUGGGCAAGAAUGAACCUGGUGUUGCCUGAGGAGGAAGGUGGUCAAGGCUGUGGAUGGUGACUGCUGCAGAAAGGAGCCCCCAUUUCUCCUCAAACACUUCCUGCUUCUCAAGGAUUUUUUGCGAUCAGAGAAGUACUCUACUGAGGAGUCAGUGGGCAGAAUAUUGCUGCUCUUUCCCUUUAAGUAACUUUUAGUUUCACAUCUGCAAGAUCUACUGAAAUUAUUGUCUUCUGUUUCAGUGACAAGCUAAUGAGGUCUUUAGGGAAGAUUGUGAAGAACGUGUAGUCAUUACCUUCCUGAAAGAGGAAUUUGCAGUUGUUUCCUCUGUGCUUUACUCUCAAGGCAGAGGACAGAGAACCUGCCUGAAGCAGGGCAGCACUGAGGCUGAGAAGCUGCUGCUCAUCCUUUCCAGAGCUGGGCUUCUAGAAGAGUGAUUCACCUCAAAAUACCUCAUGGAAAUCUUUUGUUUAUAAGAUGCGUAGACAAAAGCCACAAACAGUUCUAACCUGUAGGAAAGUAAAGGUGUAUUUGAUAACAAGAACUUUUGCCACAUGCUCUUAAGGAUGCUUGCAUGGCGAAAGGGGACUAUUGCCCCCCACUCUCACUAUCCCUUUGGGGAUGGGGACUUGUUUUAUUGGUAAUUCAUGGCCACUGCUCUACAGACCUCAGCUUUAGCUUCCCCCUGGAGUUGCCAUUUCUAGGCUUUUCUCUUAGGAGAUCCUUUUUUUCUAGGUCUCUAAAUUUCUUUGACACAAAGCUGUACCUUUUUGCUUUAUUCCUGAACUAAGAUGCCAUCUGGAAAUGCUCUUAGUAUCGUGCAUGAUUAACUUGCAGUUAAACACACUAAUGUCAAUAUAAGAUUUUUGUAUGUAUAAAGUUGUCAGACUAAGAAACAUGAAAGUUACAGCUGCACAUACAAUAUUGCUGCUUUUGCUUGCUAGUGUUCUGUCAGUAUUUACCACCCUGUGGUCAGGAUGUCAGUGCUCACUGUAUCUCUCACUUUGUUUCUCUAUUAAAAUCCUUGUGUAGUUCUACAGCUUA
Molecule: long non-coding RNA, 3160 nt
Organism: Strigops habroptila (Kakapo)
Lineage: Eukaryota; Metazoa; Chordata; Aves; Psittaciformes; Psittacidae
Exons: 7
Source: RefSeq, a predicted model, not a curated record